This 500-nucleotide ribosomal RNA is filed under the name uncultured bacterium. RNAcentral describes it as "partial 16S ribosomal RNA". It matches the Rfam family "Bacterial small subunit ribosomal RNA", at positions 30 to 523 of the family's 1533-position model. The record is from RNAcentral.
AUUGAACGCUGGCGGCAUGCCUUACACAUGCAAGUCGAACGGCAGCACGGGAGCAAUCCUGGUGGCGAGUGGCGAACGGGUGAGUAAUAUAUCGGAACGUGCCUAGUCGUGGGGGAUAACGUAGCGAGAGCUACGCUAAUAACGCAUACGAUCCAUGGAUGAAAGUGGGGGACCGCAAGACCACGCGCGAUAGGAGCAGUCGAUAUCAGAUUAGGUAGUUGGUGAGGUAAAGGCUCACCAAGCCGACGAACUGUAGCUGGUCUCAGAGGACGACCAGCCACACUGGGACUGAGACACGGCCCAGACUCCUACGUGAGGCAGCAGUGGGGAAUUUUGGACAAUGGGCGCAAGCCUGAUCCAGCAAUGCCGCGUGCAGGAUGAAGGCCUUCGGGUUGUAAACUGCUUUUGUACGGAACGAAACGGCGAGCUCUAAUACAGUUUGCUAAUGACGGUACCGUAAGAAUAAGCACCGGCUAACUACGUGCCAGCCGCCGCGGUAA